UCUAAUAUGGCAGACUAGUGCAAUGAACUUAAGAUUCAUUUAUAAAUUUAUUUUUGUUAGAA
RNAcentral lists this transfer RNA (62 nucleotides) under Bothrogonia tibetana. RNAcentral's name for it is "tRNA-Leu". Lineage: Eukaryota; Metazoa; Arthropoda; Insecta; Hemiptera; Cicadellidae. The record is from RNAcentral.